GUGACUUGGAGAAUGAAGCUUUUUAUUUAGCCACUGUAGAGGCAGAAGCAGAGCAGGCUUCCCCACAUUCCCCUGCCAAUGUGCCUCAGUCCUGACCCCGAGGGACACUGCGGAGUACUGAGAUUUAUCCCAUUUACACCUAGGUGCCU
This 149-nucleotide small RNA is filed under the name Chrysemys picta bellii (western painted turtle). Its description in RNAcentral is "TUC338 (ENSCPBG00000011322.1)". The record is from RNAcentral. Lineage: Eukaryota; Metazoa; Chordata; Testudines; Emydidae.